UACGUAGGGUGCAGGCGUUGUCCGGAAUUAUUGGGCGUAAAGAGCUCGUAGGCGGUUUGUCGCGUCUGCUGUGAAAACUCGGGGCUUAACCCCGGGCCUGCAGUGGGUACGGGCAGACUAGAGUGCGGUAGGGGAGACUGGAAUUCCUGGUGUAGCGGUGAAAUGCGCAGAUAUCAGGAGGAACACCGGUGGCGCAGGCGGGUCUCUGGGCCGUAACUGACGCUGAGGAGCGAAAGCGUGGGGAGCGAACAGG
This 253-nucleotide ribosomal RNA is filed under the name uncultured bacterium. Its description in RNAcentral is "partial 16S ribosomal RNA". It matches the Rfam family "Bacterial small subunit ribosomal RNA", at positions 524 to 776 of the family's 1533-position model. The record is from RNAcentral.